Long non-coding RNA from Polypterus senegalus (gray bichir), 667 nucleotides. RefSeq lists it as uncharacterized. The record is from RefSeq and is a predicted model, not a curated record. Lineage: Eukaryota; Metazoa; Chordata; Cladistia; Polypteriformes; Polypteridae. The transcript is spliced from 3 exons.
GAGCCCUAGCGGGGUGUUUGGCCGACACAUAGGGCAGUUGGUAGUGGUCGUUCCCGCUGAGCAUUGUGAGGACCGGGAGUGACCAGAAGAAGGAUGGCUGGCCGCGUAAGGCUGAGAAGGCAGCGGCAGUUGGGAGGCUUGGAAGGUGGAUUCCCCAGCGUGAGCGUCCUGGCCGUUGGGGGGAAAGCCAAGUCUCGGUCCGCAGAGGGCUAAGCGAAGCCAGGGAUUGGGAGGCCACCAGACCAGUCGAGUAGAGCAAAGACUGGAUGAUUGACAGCUGCUGCACGUCUAACGUCACUCUCUGUGUCCAACUGCCUGGAUUCGCUUUGUCCUGCCGGAAGGACUUAAGACCUGAAGAUACGCCACCUUGAAGCAGUUCAUUUGGGAACUUGCCUCUGGAAAAAAGUUUCUGCAAUUAUUGUGCGUUUUCUUUUGUGUUUACUGAAUUCCAGUUAUAUGGGGUACCCCAACUCUUUAUCAAGUCCUUCUGUGGUGGCCUUUUGCUCUACCACUACCUGACAAAGGCACCAUGCAGCCACCUGUGAUUCUGGAAUUCAGAUGGGUGUCCAAGCUUUUCACGGGACUCAUAGCACUGAAUCCUCUCAGACAAAGACUGGAAACAAUGAGGAAUGACUUCAGAACAUUUAUGUUAAGUAGAAUGCCCAGU